GGCCUAUAAAGGAGGUCAACUUAACAAAUUUCUACUCAAAAGCCACUUAAUAAAACAUAACUCAACCAACUGACCUGCCCAAAUGAGAAACAACCCCAUUGUAUACUCCAAAGGUGAAAACCACAGAGAUACCAGCUAACCAUAAUUCAAGAAGAACCCCAUUCCCCCCUGCAUGGUCACAAUAGAUGGAUCAGUCCAUUUUAUUGGCUUCUGCAUUUAAACCAGCUCCACCCUCAGCCUCCUCUUUCACCCAAACCAGGAAGGACUGGCGCGGCAGCCAGGUAAACUGUCUCCAUGGAGAUCACAGAAGGGCACACUGGCUGAAUAGCAAUCACCAAACCAUCGACUAUCCCCUCAUGAAGUUUCACUCUUCUCCACAGCUGGCUGACAGACCAACAACAGCACAAGUCAGAGAUGCCCACAGGCUGAUUGUACCACAUAUACAACCCGGUCUGACAACAGAUGCUCUCUUCAGUGAAGAAGACACCACAUACACUAUACUGCCAAAAGUUUAGUGUAGUGUGAAGGACUCUGUGCAGGCCAGUCAAGUUCAUCCACACCAAACUCACUCAUCCACAUCUUUACGGACCUUGCUUUGUGCACUGGCUGCUUAAAUCCUCAGUCAGAAGCCUCUGUGUUUGUCCACACUGUCAGCUAGACGGCCUGAUGAAAGGCAGUCACUCUGCGGCCGGUCCGUCUGUGCUUUCAGCCCGCAGGCUGUCGUGGAUGCCGCCUUCCCAGAAGGCCACUGGCUAGCAGCUCGUUAGUGUGUCAACUAACUGACCACCCACGACUCUGCCUGCAUGCCUUGGCCUGGCCCCAGAGGCUCAUGGGUAAUCUGUCAUCCAGUGUGUGUGCUGCAGCCUGCUGAUAGCAGACCUUCAGUCAGAGAGGAUGGAGCUGUGAUGUUUCUAUCAGCAGACAAGCAAAUGAACGAACUUCCAGCUGAGCCUCUGAAGCCACAUCAGCUGCCUCCCUCCUCUUCCUCCUCACCCCGUCCUCUGUCAGCCCUUUCUUUUGUCUCACUUUAUCCCCCCGUGCCACUCUGUGACUCUUUUCUUCUCUUUCGUAAACGGUUAAAGUCACUCCUAGAAUAUGUUAUGUUCCUUUAUCGUCCCCGUUGACGCUUUCAUCACAGCUGUGAAACAUUUUCUUGUGAAAACAGCAGAGUCCCAUUAAUCAUUUCAGUCGAUUGUCCAGUUCUGGUAUCAGUGUUGGAAUGUUUGAUGAGGUUUGGACUGCUGGAGGAAGUUCGGGUGGAGUCCAGUGGGAGUCGGUCCAGCUGCUGCUGCUGCUGUUCAACAGCCUGAAGCUGUUUACCUGAUCAUUAGUUCGCCUGAUGUUACUACUCAAACACACAGACCUUUUUUUUUUUUUUUUUUACACCUUAGUUUGGAAAGAUUAGAGCAUAUAAAUACAGAAUAUGUAUGAGAGACCCGAGGAGCAAUGAUUUCAAUGGAUGUAAGUCUUUAGAGUAGCUCUGUUAUUCUUACAUAUAUGCUUAUUUCCUUAAAAUCAUGUUAAUCUAAACAUGGACUCCAUCUGAAGUCCACUUGUUGUCAUAUUGAUAUGACUAAUCAGUUUUUGCUGGCUUCGGUUGCGGCACAUAAAAAGGAAACUGUGGAGAGCAAAAAAGGAAAAGUAUUUGCAGAAACGUGUCAUGCAUCACAGUCUAGGCUCAAAUUGUGUUCAAAUAAGGAACGUAAAACGGCAAAUACAUUAUUUUACCAAAGUACACAUUACAUGUACUUUAGUCAAAUCUUUCAGAGAUGUCUGCUGGCUACCAGAAACAUAUUUAAAAAUUCUAUAGGAUGCUCAAAGUGACAACAUAGAGGAAACUUAAUGUCUUGUUUUGACAAAUUGCAGUUAUAUAUUUCUCUUAAAAAAAAAAAAAUUAAAAGGUGAUAGUAGGGCUUACAUUUCUCUGGCACUGUGAUGAAAUCUGAUGACAGUUAUGUGUAUAGCAAAUAAUCUUGUUCAUUUUUUCUAACUGUCACAUAACUAGAAAAUGGCUGCACAUGCAUGUAUGAAGCCAGACCUCCCUCAUGUCUUAGUCUGAUAUAUUUUAGACUAACAUACAGUCAAAGUAUAUUUGAAAAAUUUUAUCUUUAAGAUGCUCUGA
Molecule: long non-coding RNA, 2122 nt
Organism: Oreochromis niloticus (Nile tilapia)
Lineage: Eukaryota; Metazoa; Chordata; Actinopteri; Cichliformes; Cichlidae
Exons: 7
Source: RefSeq, a predicted model, not a curated record